UGCCCAUGGCUAAAUCGGUUACAGCGUCCGACUUUUAACCUCAAGUUGUAUCGGAAGGUGGUGAGUUCGAGCCUCACUUGGGCAG
This is a non-coding RNA of Paramarasmius palmivorus, 85 nucleotides long. Lineage: Eukaryota; Fungi; Basidiomycota; Agaricomycetes; Agaricales; Marasmiaceae. The record is from the annotation of a GenBank genome assembly.